CAGCCUGAGCCCACCGCCGGGUCAGGUCUCUCUCUGUCUCCCUCUGUCUCUGUCUCUCUGUCUCUGUCUCUGUCUCUCUCUGUCUCUCUCUCUCUCUCUUUCUCUCUGGGCCCGCUUGGGGCGGCCGGGAGGUCACCACGUGAGGCCCCAGGGUGUCCACCUCGGAGCUCCCAGGCAGCACAGGGCAACCCUGGGCGCAGAAGGAGGUCGGUGCACGUAUUUCCCUUCCAAAAAAGAAGAACGGGAAAGGAGAUGUUAAAGGCAAGCAGAGAGAGGAAAACUGUUGCAAAACAAAAGCUUAGCUCUCGUCCUAGGGACGCCUCCUCCAUUGGAGGCCUAGGAAAUCAUUCUGACAAAAUGGAGGAUCUCUGUCUUUGGUGUCGAUUCCCUCAAAGGUCAAGAGAAACCUUUUCCAAUGUCUUUAUCAGGAGGAGACUAGAAGUUAGAGAAAAGUAUCCUUUCGAGAGCGAGAAAAGCAAAUUCUGAUUUUGCAUCAGCUUCCCUCCGAUCUUGAAUCUUAUUGACUUGAUUCCAUUCUGUCGACGAACAUAAUCCAGAACCAAUCUAUCCUUGAAAAUCGGGGUGAGUUUAUUCUGAGCUAAAAUGUGAGGACUGUGGCCCGGGGCCUUUCUUCCCGAAGGAAGAGAGGGCACCCGAGAAGUGGUGUGUACAGAGUGCUUCUAGACCCCCAGAGAGGACGUUUCACAUAGGAUCGAAAGGUCCCUUGGACGAUAGUCGCGAGACUGCUCUGUCGGCACAGCGAUCGACAGACACUGCUGGGUGGCAGGUCUGUUAUCUGGGCCUGGGUGGUCACAGGUGAGCUGGACGCUCAAAGGUUAGCGCAGCCAUCCGUUCCUAGCCUAAGGAAGGAUGCUUCUCCUUCAGGAAAUGCGAAAGUGGGGUGAUGUUGCACCUUUAUCUUAAGGCCACUUGUUUUUGUGAUAGGAAAUGUUUAAAGUGGAUCUACGAUGUGUGCUCAGUGGCCACGUCAGGACCUUUUGGAAAAGCAAAGUCAGGCUGAAUUAGGUUUAUGCCAAAUGGCUUCCUCAUAAACUCCAAUAUAUACUCCUGCUUGCCAUUUCUAUUUGUCAAAAACUACUCGUUGUCUUGUGUCUGUUCUUCUCUCACAUUUGGGCAAAUACUGAUUUCGUACUGUUCCUUUAAGUUGGCCAAAGAAACACUUUGUAGAGCUUUGUUUGCCGUUUAAAAAAUGAUUUUUGAGAUUAGAACCUAGAAAAUUGUUUUUAC
Equus asinus (donkey) is the source of this 1248-nucleotide long non-coding RNA. NCBI's taxonomy places the organism in Eukaryota, Metazoa, Chordata, Mammalia, Perissodactyla, Equidae. The record is from Ensembl.